Molecule: ribosomal RNA, 497 nt
Filed under: uncultured bacterium
Lineage: Bacteria
Description: partial 16S ribosomal RNA
Rfam family: Bacterial small subunit ribosomal RNA
Source: RNAcentral
GACGAACGCUGGCGGCGUGCCUAAUACAUGCAAGUUGAGCGCUGAAGGUUGGUACUUGUACCAACUGGAUGAGCAGCGAACGGGUGAGUAACGCGUGGGGAAUCUGCCUUUGAGCGGGGGACAACAUUUGGAAACGAAUGCUAAUACCGCAUAAAAACUUUAAACACAAGUUUUAAGUUUGAAAGAUGCAAUUGCAUCACUCAAAGAUGAUCCCGCGUUGUAUUAGCUAGUUGGUGAGGUAAAGGCUCACCAAGGCGAUGAUACAUAGCCGACCUGAGAGGGUGAUCGGCCACAUUGGGACUGAGACACGGCCCAACCUCCUACGGGAGGCAGCAGUAGGGAAUCUUCGGCAAUGGACGAAAGUCUGACCGAGCAACGCCGCGUGAGUGAAGAAGGCUUUCGGAUCGUAAAACUCUGUUGGUAGAGAAGAACGUUGGUGAGAGUGGAAAGCUCAUCAAGUGACGGUAACUACCCAGAAAGGGACGGCUAACUACGUG